This 253-nucleotide ribosomal RNA is filed under the name uncultured bacterium. RNAcentral's name for it is "partial 16S ribosomal RNA". It matches the Rfam family "Bacterial small subunit ribosomal RNA", at positions 524 to 776 of the family's 1533-position model. The record is from RNAcentral.
UACGAAGGGGGCUAGCGUUGCUCGGAAUCACUGGGCGUAAAGCGCACGUAGGCGGCUUCUUAAGUCAGGGGUGAAAUCCUGGAGCUCAACUCCAGAACUGCCUUUGAUACUGAGAAGCUUGAGUCCGGGAGAGGUGAGUGGAACUGCGAGCGUAGAGGUGAAAUUCGUAGAUAUUCGCAAGAACACCAGUGGCGAAGGCGGCUCACUGGCCCGGUACUGACGCUGAGGUGCGAAAGCGUGGGGAGCAAACAGG